UCACCCAUCGGGGUCACGGAUACCUGCUUUUAU
The sequence is a non-coding RNA, 33 nucleotides long. It matches the Rfam family "XIST RNA A repeat".